This 2162-nucleotide long non-coding RNA is filed under the name Sorghum bicolor (sorghum). RNAcentral's name for it is "long non-coding RNA (SBIC_LNC012975)". The record is from RNAcentral. Lineage: Eukaryota; Viridiplantae; Streptophyta; Magnoliopsida; Poales; Poaceae.
UGAAUGCUUUUGAGACACCUCCCAAGCGUCGCAAGACUAUAGUAGACAUUGAUGAGGACGUUCGCAGACUAGACAGAGUUAUCAUAGAUCUCCAGUCCUCGAUUAAUUCCCUCACUAGACAGCUCUCUAACCACAACACCAUUAUACUAGGCCUUAGGCAGGAUCUUGCCAGUGCCAACAAGAAGAUUAAGGAAUUAGAGCGUCGCUAAGUUAUCUAGAUUAGACCUUGAGGCAAUGCAUCUUAGUCAUUUAUCUUUAAAUUCGGUUUAGGUUUGCUACUAUCAUCAGUUUACUAUUAUCAUUAGUUUGCUAUCAGUUUGCUAUCAGUCUUUUGUAAUAAAUGCCUCGAGAUCAAUAAAGAGUAUUAUUAUUAUUAUGUCUUGUGUGUCUCUACUUUAUUUUUGUGCAAGAAAGCAGAAAACAAGUAUGGGGGAGAUCCCUCAACAUGCCAAACACACUCCGACUACACCACUCCACGAUUCAGGUACACACUCUGCACACUUUACUUUACACAUACAUAUAUUUUGGAAUAUGCAGAUUAUUGUCUCUGAUAUGAUAAAAUAAAAAGAUUAAAAUAUUUCUAAUCAUGGUUAAUCUCAAUCUGUGAUAUUUCCUGAAAACUUGCAAUUAUUAAAAAUCAUUUUAAAACCCUGUGUCACUUAAAGUCAAUAUGGAAUAUGUGAUGGUAGAGUAUGAGUUUCUUAUUCUUGAUAUCAUUGUUGCUUGAAGAAUUUAUUUCAAAAUAAAUCCUAGCUACCAUCCUCAGUGUUUUAUGCCUGAUAAGACUGAAAAUAUUAAUUAUGAUUAUAAAAGCUAUCUACUCUGUAUUGAGCUUGUUCAAAAUGAGUUAGACCCUUGUAGAGAGAUUUAUCAUGCUCCUAAGAUCAAGACAUUAUUUUAGAAAGAUUCACUCUUCCGAAGUAUUAUUGCAUUAGAGGCAUGGGCUAUGCAAAAAAUAAAAAUAUUUCGAGGAAAUAAAAAGGAGCAAGUGCUCGACAACCUCGCAGAAAAAUGGACAAGUGUCCGGCAGUAGAAUUAGGGGUACCUCGGUAUCCACUUAAAGAAAAAAAAAGAGAAAAAGAGAAAAUAAUAGCCCAUGGUCCCUCUAAUAAGCAAUAUGCCAGCAAGAGUUGACAAAGAUUUUAAUUUCCAAAGUGUUUGAUCUAAGAGUAUGACAUUUCCGUCCUCGGAUCCCGUUUUGAUCAGACAAUAAAUGCAAAGUAAGUAUGCUUGAGAAUUUUUGCAAAAAAAUAAAACAGCCUCAGUGAGAUAUAUAUAAAAGAUAAUGAGUGAUCUGAGAGAACCUAUGAGGAUAAAAUUCAAAAAUAUACAAAAACUCCAAGUGACAGGAUUGAGAAGAAAGGAUCUUUACUCUCAACCAUAAACAUCCCUGACUAUGGUACACAGUGGAUUUUUAACACCCUGCAAAUAUAAAGAAUGUUUUAAAAUAUUUUACCCCAGAUAUUGUUCUUAACCAUCCUUUUCUCAAGGACGAGUAAAAGCCUAAGUAUGGGGGUAUUUGUUGACGGUUCUUAAGUAUCAAUUUGAAUUAUCAAAUAAACAUGAGAAAGGACCAAUAUGCAACCAACACCUAGAAUUAGGGUUUGAUCUGACAGAAUUCCACGAGUUUUGUUGUUUAUCUGGUUCUGCAGGGGGUUAUCAGGAAAUAAGGAAGAAAGGCCCACAUGUCGGGAUUACAUAGAGAUAUCAACGCACCGCGAGAUUUUCCACCAUCUAGAAGACUCCAGAAGCCACGGGAAGAAGACGGAGGCCGAAAGGGGCCAGGCCCAGGGCGCCCGCCCCCCUCUGGAAACCUUUCAGGACUCUCUUCGCUCGGGAUAUUCCACCGACCUACUGGAUCAAGAAAAACAUAGUACCACCUCGCCUAUCGACCCAAAAACGCAUAGAAGAGGAGGACUAUAUAAGGAGACCCCCCUGGCCCCUGGAGAAGACAUGAAGAAAUUAUCAUAGAGACUGAGGGGUGCCCUCGAAGGAAAACCUCUUCUCUAAUUAAUAUUUCUUUUUAGGCUUAGCAACCAAUGUAAGGUAGAAAUAGAUCUUCUAGUUUCUACUAGAUUGAGAGAGAUAGAGUGGAGGUGUAGAUUGGAGGAAGCCCGGCCUGUCGGUGUCUACUCCAAGCUUGUACCUGCGGGAUCAAGUUC